This 301-nucleotide ribosomal RNA is filed under the name uncultured bacterium. Its description in RNAcentral is "partial 16S ribosomal RNA". It matches the Rfam family "Bacterial small subunit ribosomal RNA", at positions 509 to 809 of the family's 1533-position model. The record is from RNAcentral.
CAGCAGCCGCGGGAAUACGAAGGGGGCUAGCGUUGCUCGGAAUGACUGGGCGUAAAGGGCGCGUAGGCGGCGAUCAAAGUCAGGCGUGAAAUUCCUGGGCUCAACCUGGGGGCUGCGUUUGAUACUUGAUUGCUAGAGUGGGGAAGAGGGUCGUGGAAUUCCCAGUGUAGAGGUGAAAUUCGUAGAUAUUGGGAAGAACACCAGUGGCGAAGGCGGCUCACUGGACCGACACUGACGCUGAGGCGCGAAAGCGUGGAGAGCAAACAGGAUUAGAUACCCCUGUAGUCCCUGUCUCUUAUAA